Molecule: RNA transcript, 1894 nt
Organism: Glycine soja
Lineage: Eukaryota; Viridiplantae; Streptophyta; Magnoliopsida; Fabales; Fabaceae
Exons: 6
Source: RefSeq, a predicted model, not a curated record
GUCGUGUCUCUCUUCACUUACGUUACCACUGCACCGCAUCGCUCGUUCCUCGUGGUUCCUUCCUUUGUGUCUCUCUCUCUUCGGACACAAAGCAACACUUUCCAUUUCCAUGUCUCUGUCUCUUCUUCGUAUCUACUCUUCCCCCCACCUUCUUUCCUCCUCUCUCUUCUUUCCAACCCCACCUCUCUCUUCUUUCCUUCCCAAAUUACCAAAUGCCCCCCGCACUCCCCACAUUGUUUUAUGCCACCGUAGGGACGCCUCCUCAGCUUCGAAGCAGCGAGUCCCAGAAGAUACAGAAUACGAACAACCCAUGAGGACCAGUUACGACGACGACGAAGAAGAAGAAGAGGAAUUUCUUGGCUCCUUAGUUUUGCCUGAAAGAUGGGAUGUACUGGGUCUCGGUCAAGCCAUGGUAGAUUUCUCUGGCAUGGUUGAUGAUAAUUUCCUCAAGAAUUUGGGAUUAGAGAAGGGAACACGGAAAGUAGUAAAUCAUGAGGAAAGAGGUAGAGUUUUGCAGGCUAUGGAUGGGUGCAGCUAUAAAGCUGCAGCUGGAGGAUCUCUUUCUAAUACCUUAGUGGCCCUCGCAAGGCUUGCUAGUCGCUCCCAAAAAGUUCCCGCUAUAAAUGUCGCAAUGACCGGUAGUGUAGGGAGUGAUCUAUUGGGGGGCUUCUACAGGGAGAAAUUACGCCGAGCAAAUGUGCAAUUUCUUUCUGCACCAAUGAAGGAUGGGACAACUGGAACAGUUAUAGUCCUCACAACUCCAGAUGCCCAGCGCACAAUGCUUGCAUAUCAGGGCACAUCUUCAACUGUUAACUAUGAUGCAUCCUUGGCUAGUGCAGUUUCCAAGACCAACAUACUUGUUGUCGAAGGAUAUCUAUUUGAACUUCCUGAUACGAUUAAAGCAAUAACCAAAGCAUGUGAGAAAGCACGGACAAAUGGUGCCUUGGUUGCAAUAACAGCUUCAGAUGUCUCCUGCAUUGAGAGACACUUUGAUGAUUUCUGAACAUAUCCACUUCCAAUUGAGUCCUGGUUGCACAACAGCUAACCAGGCUGUGUGGAGGAGUGAAGGGGAAUGAAAGGCAAUUUGGCAGAUUGCCUCAUCAAACCUGUAGGAACAACCACUUAAGUGCUAUUAAUCAAAGGAAAUUAUUGGGAAUUGUGUGGAUUUAGUCUUUGCAAAUGGUGAUGAGGCCAGAGCUCUUUGUAAUUUUGAAGCAAAGGAAAGUGCUGCUUCAGCUGCAAGGUAUCUGAGCCACUUUGUUCCUCUAGCAUCCGUUACAGAUGGUCCUACAGGCUCUUACAUAGGUGUAAAAGGAGAAGCUGUAUAUAUCCCUCCUUCUCCAUGUGUUCCAGUUGAUACUUGUGGUGCUGGGGAUGCAUAUGCAUCUGGCAUACUCUAUGGUCUUUUAAGAGGCAUAUCAGAUUUGAGAAGCAUAGGCUCAUUAGCCGCUAAGGUUGCUGCCACUGUUGUUGGACAACAGGGAACUCGGCUUAGAAUUUCAGAUGCAGUCAAAUUGGCUGAAUCUUUUGAAUUUCAACUUGAUUCCUCCUCCUCUGUUGGCACUGAUCAUAAUAUUUCCAGCGUCUAAUCAGAGAUUGCACUUUGAAUUGAGUUGAAUUGAAUUACAAUUUUUUUCAUAAGAUCAAUGUAUUAUUUAAUAGUAUGUUUCAAAAGAAUAGCCUUGUAAAUACUCUCAUUGUAAAAAGAAUAGCUUUGCUAGCAAUUCAAUUGCUUAGGCCUACGUCCUGUUUUCAUCAUGGUUACUAUUAUGCGAGCUACAUUGGUAUAUUGUAUCAUCAUCGUCAUAAUUAUUGUGAGAAGUACAUACAUAUCUUGUAUCAUCAUGAGACGAACAUUGAUAUUGACAGAUGGAUACUAACCUAAAGUUGGUUA